GGUCUGGUAGUAUUGUGCAGGCUGCCAGGCACAGUAUAGUGAGGAGGGGGCCUGGCAAAUGCCAUCUAUAGUUUACAGCGGCUCCUCUCUCCAACUCUGGCGAGCCUGGCAUGCGUGCCACGCGGAGCAUUAAACACGGUAACCUGCGGCAACUCUCUGAUGGGCCAGGGUCUGUUGGAAACGGAGUAUGGCGUUUGCUGGGCCCCCUGUUCACUAUGCAGGCAGCCGGGGAUGUGCACAUUGAGAAUUCACAGUCUGGGCCCCCCAGGACCAUUCAUGGUCAUUGUUGUCACGCCCUGAUGGCGGCCUAUAAUCCAUCUCUGAUGCUCUCCAUAACCCUACUCACACUCCUACACAUAAUCCAAGUCCUAAACCCACCUCCCAAG
This is a non-coding RNA of Pelobates cultripes (western spadefoot toad), 386 nucleotides long. Lineage: Eukaryota; Metazoa; Chordata; Amphibia; Anura; Pelobatidae. The record is from the annotation of a GenBank genome assembly.